GAUUAUACUUGAAGACACUACUUACUGAGUCAUUGUACUGGACUUCUUAUUUGCAUUUGUGCUGUAUUUGGGGCAUUUCUAAUGGAAGGAUCUGAAAAAUAAUAUGGCCAUCCAAGAAAUGUGUGCUCCAGCUUUAUUUCGUUUCUCCUGUUACUUAGCAGUAAUUAGUAGGUAUGUCUAUUUGUGAGUGAACUGUGCCGAGCAGUUACACUGGCAAGCCUGAUUGCUGAUACAGCUUCCAGAAUCAAAUGGGUGAUGUCAUAGUCACUGACACCAGAGUUUGUUGAAAUGUUAUUUUUAUUUUAAAUUGCUUUACAAUCGCAGCUAAUGACAGCCAAGAAAGCGCGACAAGGUCUGAAGAGAAGAGGUGUCUCCUCUCCAAGCUCAUUUCAGGCAUGCCUUUAUCUGCACCUGAUCGGGUGUAGGCAAUCAGCAAUUAAGCCCAGGCAAAAAUUGAAUAGCCUUGCACUGCCACUGCAGGCAGAGUAGAGAUUGUGGAGGGAUAAACUCUACCAAUUUGAAACGAAAUCUUUCUAACAUUCUUCAUAGUGAGUCUUGGAGUUGGGACCAAAUCCUAAAUAAACCAGUGGAGCAGCUUUUACCUGUGAGCCAUUUACAGCAAGCAGAUGCAGAAUGCCCUACAGUUUGUUGUGAGAACACUACGCACCAACUGCUGGCUAUGAAUGCAUUCUCCAAGCUGACUCUGAAAUGGCAUAAUAAGAGCAACAGUUCUUUGCAGUCCAAGGCGGUCCAGGCACUGGGUGUUAGAUGGCUGAUCGAGGAGGAGGAGGAGGAGGAGGAGAAGGAGAAGGAGUUUGGCUGUUGGCUGCAGGGUGUGAGGCCCCGCUGCUCUCCAAUGGAGAAGCUCUGACUGCAGAGCUGCACCCAGUCAUGGAGCUGCCUCAUGAUGGGACAUGAAUAUGUAUGCAGGUUAACUGAUGUGCUUCUCUCUAAUUGCAAUGGGAGGAAAGGAGCCUGAAGUGCAAUGCUUCAUGGGAGCUGCUUCUCAUCUUGGCAUAUAGUAUACUAUUCCACAUAACUUAAAGGAGGGACACAUUAGAGAGUCUUUCCUGUUUGCCUAGUUGUUUAUUGCUGAUUUUAAACGAGUUUUCUGUACUUUCUUCUUUCUGAUGCCGCCAACCAAUUUAGGCAGCAUUGGUUUAAUUUAUAUUUGUUGUAGCUUUUGUUGUCCUUCAAUUUAUGCCUCCUUGCCUCUGCCAAUUAGGUUUUAACUGAAUGUGAUUAUGAAGAAUAAAUGCUAACGUUCAGCUCCACUAGAGGGUGGCCCAUCAGUUUACCUAAGGCAAGGCUUUCAAACUUGGGGGAGAGAAACAGAAUGAAGCUAAUUUUAAGGGAUAUGCUUUUAAUUUUGAACGUUUGCAUAAGCACGCUGGAGCAUUUCAGAUUAAAAUCCCCCAAAGUGUGGGAACCAUGAAAUCGCUUUAAUUAGGCCAACUGACAAUUCACCGGCAUCUCCAAGCACACUGGACCCGAAAAGGGACGAAAACAAAGCAAUCACCUUUUACAGGGAUUUGUAGUUUUUAAAAAAGUGACAGAAAUGGGAAACAACACUGAAAUUUGCAUGCAUUUUUACAUUUUUGAGGGAACACCUUAAAAUUAAAAGACCUGGAAACAGUGGA
This is a long non-coding RNA of Oreochromis niloticus (Nile tilapia), 1640 nucleotides long. RefSeq lists it as uncharacterized. Lineage: Eukaryota; Metazoa; Chordata; Actinopteri; Cichliformes; Cichlidae. The record is from RefSeq and is a predicted model, not a curated record. The transcript has 5 exons.